Molecule: long non-coding RNA, 344 nt
Filed under: Homo sapiens (human)
Lineage: Eukaryota; Metazoa; Chordata; Mammalia; Primates; Hominidae
Description: HSALNT0095420
Source: RNAcentral
UACCUAAGCGCAUGCUGGAAGGGACAGUCAGUCACCAUCACCACCAGCAGCUUGGACCUUAUCCCUGUUCUGAGUGAAUGGGAGGUAGAGAGAAGAUGGAGAAGAGCUCGGCUCUAUGAAGCUGAGGAGAUGAUGAUCUCGGGGACUAGACAUCUCAGGGACACUUUAGGCACAGGCUCAGAGUGCCACAGCUAGGUGACAUCAGACAGCACCUCCAGUCCAACGUCCCACUGUACAGAAGAAGAAACUGGGGCCCAGAGAAGUCCACACUCUGGCCCUGGCUCAGCAUCACCCAGGAACUUGUUUAGAAUGCAGCCUCUCGGAAUUGCCAGCUGAUUUGUACG